This 404-nucleotide ribosomal RNA is filed under the name uncultured bacterium. RNAcentral's name for it is "bacterial SSU rRNA". It matches the Rfam family "Bacterial small subunit ribosomal RNA", at positions 355 to 776 of the family's 1533-position model. The record is from RNAcentral.
UGGGGAAUAUUGCACAAUGGGGGGAACCCUGAUGAAGCGACGCCGCGUGAGUGAAGAAGUAUUUCUGUAUGUAAAGCUCUAUCAGCAGGGAAGAUAAUGACGGUACCUGACUAAGAAGCNCCGGCUAACUACGCGGCAGCAGGCGCGGUAAUACGUAGGGGGCAAGCGUUAUCCGGAUUUACUGGGUGUAAAGGGUGCGUAGGUGGCAGGGCAAGUCAGAUGUGAAAGCCCGGGGCCCAACCCCGGUACUGCAUUUGAAACUGUCCAGCUGGAGUGCAGGAGAGGUAAGCGGAAUUCCUAGUGUAGCGGUGAAAUGCGUAGAUAUUAGGAGGAACACCAGUGGCGAAGGCGGCUUACUGGACUGUAACUGACACUGAGGCACGAAAGCGUGGGGAGCAAACAGG